GCAUGGGACAGUCAUUCUUCCUAGCACCUCAGUCCCAACUGAACUGAUUUAACAGAUUCAAGCCUGCACAGCAGUGACUGGAGAUACAGCAACCUUGUAUGAAAAGUGCCGAUAAGACAGUGCAGCCAACAGAAGGUUGCAUCUCUGCGCCCACGGUCCUGCUCGACAGUGGCUGAGACGUGCAACACAGUUGCGCCCAACUUCCCUCUAUGCUACAAGCACCACAGGAGCUACUAUCGCCCAAAGAUGUCACAGGUGGUCAUGAUUCUUUGAGGCAGCGGAAUUUCACCGCAGUGCAUCUUUAACACCUUCAGUUUCUUUUCUACUGCAAGCCUGGUACUACAGCUUGUGGCCCGUGUAGAAGAAUAGAGGGGUGAAACCAAGGCUCAAGUGACUGUGGACUCAUGGCCCUCAGACAGCUAGAGCACCAGACCAGGCACAGACCAGAGCCAUUUAUGCUCCACUUCUAGAGGACAUGUUGCAGUUUGAAACUACCAAGACUCAUGGAAGCUGCUGACAGGAGGCUGUUGAAGCCGUGGUCGCAAGGCACCCAUGACAUUGAAGUCUUCCAAACAAGGCACUAUGAAGGCAUGACUUGUAGCGGCACUGGAGCAAGCGACACGGUCCGGGUUGGUGACCAACCCAAAACCGCCCUCGGCCACUGGUGUUCUGCCGGUGCCAGGAUCCCAGGUCGGUGGCCGACCCAAAGCCACCCUCGGCCACUGGCGUCCUGCCGGUGCCACGAUAUCAUCUCGGUGGCCGACCCAAAGCCGCCAUCGGCCAUUGGGGUCCUGCUGGUGCCAGGAUUUCAGGUAGGUGGCCGACCCAAAUCCGCCCUCGGCCACUGGUGUUUUGCCAGUGCCACGAUAUCAUCUCGGUGGCCGA
Molecule: long non-coding RNA, 885 nt
Filed under: Ixodes scapularis (black-legged tick)
Lineage: Eukaryota; Metazoa; Arthropoda; Arachnida; Ixodida; Ixodidae
Description: uncharacterized LOC120845450, transcript variant X2
Source: RNAcentral